AUGCUUGCUUUGGCACUACAUAUACUAAAAUCGGAACGAUACACAGAUUAAGAUGGUCCUUGCUCAAAGAUGACAAGAGAACAUAAUUUAA
RNAcentral lists this small nuclear RNA (91 nucleotides) under Mus pahari (shrew mouse). RNAcentral describes it as "snRNA (MGP_PahariEiJ_G0033722.1)". The record is from RNAcentral. Lineage: Eukaryota; Metazoa; Chordata; Mammalia; Rodentia; Muridae.